RNAcentral lists this long non-coding RNA (2892 nucleotides) under Equus caballus (horse). Its description in RNAcentral is "lncRNA (ENSECAG00000046390.1)". The record is from RNAcentral. Lineage: Eukaryota; Metazoa; Chordata; Mammalia; Perissodactyla; Equidae.
CAGCUCUGAACACAGCCUGAUUUGUGAGUACCUCUGAAACCACAACUGGAACAUGAGAGGAAGAUGGUGCUUGGUCCUAUUGAAAAAGAAUACUCCGUUAUGUAUGGAUCUAUUUCAAUGAUACCGAGAGGGAAAAUUUGUCACCUUUUUACUCUUACCUAAAUGCUUCCAUGGAUCAAAUCCUCCGUUAGUUUGAAGCAACGUCCAUCUUUGAUGUCAGCAGAACAGCCCACAGACCUUCAGGCAUUUGGAUGCUGUUGCCCUUUGAUUCACCGACACAGGGCAAGUGAUUUGCAAAAGUGCUUCUCUGGGGCCCAGUUGGUAUUCAUCACUGGAGCAGAUGUAAAGAGUCUCACGGGGCCAGAACUGAGCACUGGAUCCUGAGUAACAGAAAGGCUCUUGUGUUCUUUAUUAAACUUAUUUGGGAAAAGCAAAGUAAAAAGGAAUUUGUCAGCCCUAUGAAUCCGAGGUUAGAGUGAAGGGAGGACAGAGAGGCUGUGGAAGACCCAGCACCACACCAGACUCAUCUGCUCCCAGCUCUUCCCGUGGCUUCUCAGGGUUAGUUCUCUGAUUCUUCCCACCCAUUCUAUUCCUUAGUAAGUCCUGACCAGGAGAAGAUGCUUAUAUGGGUGCACAAAACCCAUUUCCCUUUCUCACCAGGGACACAGCUAAACUUCAUAUCCCAGCUUCUCUUGCAAUUAGAUGGUCCAUGUGACUGAGUUAUGGCCAAUGGAAACUAGAUGAAAGUGAGAUACACCACUUUCCCGCCUGCCCCAAAGCCUCGCACGGGAACCUCUAUGCUUUGUCUCCUUGUCUUGUCUGCCAGCCAGGUUCACAGGAGCCAGUGGAGGACUUCAAGUCCCUAGAAGAUGGUGGAACCACAUCAUGGAAAGAGCCUGCAUCCCCAAAUGACUACAUGGAGCAGAGCCCCUGCUCCAGCCUGUAGUUGACUGUGAAACCAACAAGAAAUAAACCUGUGGUACGUCAAGCCCUCAAGAUUGUUUGUUACAGUAGCCAGUUUACUUGCCCUGGCUAAUAUAUUGUCAAAAAUCAUUAAGGAGAAAAUAAGAGGCUUUCUCUAAUUAUGUAAAUUAGACCUUCAUCUGUUUCAGUUUGGCAUUUGGGAUCUUUUUGUCCCCCCAGUUCUGAAACCGCUCUUAGUUAUGAGGAUGAUUCUGGCUAAGGGCAGGGCGGGCGGAAGAUACAGGCACCAGGGUGCGAGGAAGCCCUCAGACCCAAAUCUCUAUAAGAGCCACGCUUCUGGUUCUUUGCCUUCUCUCGCCUGUCAUCUGAUGAAAAUAUUAGGAAGCAGAGCCACAGAGAAAGUUGAGAAGCAGGAGAGAAACUACAGCAAUGACACCUGGACUGGCUUUUCCUUGGAUUAACUAGGAAUUGACGGGGUAAGGGGAGCCACGUGGCUGCUGCAGAGACCAGCAGUUCUGCAACAUGUCCAGAACCCUGCCAUCUCCACACGCCAAGGACCCCUAAGAGCUGGCCAGCCCCAGGCUGAAGAUGGGUCAUGUCAAGGACAGGGCUUUACAGAAUUCCCACCAGAGAAUAAUAAGGUGUCAUUGAGAGAGGAACAUAGAUGGCGGCAGGACAGUCUCUGCUCUGGAGGAGGCAAGUCAGGACUCCCUGUGGCAUAAGGGCUGCUCCAGGAGGGGCUGAGAGAUCACAGUGACGAGCCAAGAGCUCAGGAAAGGGCAGCAGACACUGGACUCUUGUUUCAAAUGAUUCUCAAGCAAGGGAUGCAAACGCAAAUGCCUACCUGAGGCUGAGCCUGGGCGGAGCAGGUCUGAGUCUGGACUAGCCACGUUUCCAGUGCUCAGCGGCCACAUGCGGCUGGUGGCUCCUGCAUGAGACAGUGUGGGGCAGAGUCUGUCCCCGGGCUGCUUUGCGGGGCGCUGGGACUCGGGCUUCAAGUAACAACCGCAAGCAUCAUCUAACCGUCAAACGCUGUGCUCCUCAAAGUGCGCUUGGGAGCCGCCUGUGUCCCCUCGCUGAGGGAGCUCGUUGACAAGAAAGGUUUCCAGGCCCUCACCGUCGGGGACCGUGAUCCGGAAUCUCAGAGGCAAGGGCUGGAAACUCUGCAUCUCUAGUGCGCAGCACCCUGGAUACCGAAGCGCUGCCUUCGAGCCACAGAAUAGACAUUUUUGUUUCGUUUUGUUUUUAAUAACGUCUUUGUGGCCUGGAUAGUUUUAUCAACCCAGAAUAAACCAGAAGUUGAUUGUUGCUAUGGAAUCAAAACCACAGUUGCUGUCAGCCAGUAAUUAUUAAAAACGCGUCCACCUGUGCAACGGGAGGCCGCUCUCCCUCCUGGCAGGAUUUCCCCGCCUGAACUGAGAGCAGUGGCGCUCAUCUCUGCCCCUCGGCUCCUCCUGGGGGUAAACGCUUCAUCGGUGACAGUUUUGAGUCUCCCCUUUCUCUCUUGGCUUCAUCAUCGUGGUGUCCCAGCUCCAAACCCUGAGCCCCGUUUCCUCGGGACUGAAGACGCACAGGGCUGCCUCGUAGGUGCUGUGCUGAGAUGGCUGAUUAAGUUCCCCGCUGGAUGUGUUCGGCUCUGCACGAGGCGCCCAAAGGAAGCGGGAUGACCCUGGGAGCUCAUCGUGCCACGCACUGCUGAGAGAGAAUCCCCAGUUCGCUCUGCCCCAAGUCCCCGCUCGCCUUCCUGCCAGAAGCUCAGGCCGAGGCCAAACCUGCGCGGAGCGGGUCCUGCAGCCGCGGGACCCCGGGUCUCCCUGCCCACGUGUGUUCAGACGCCCCGCGAACUGCGGCGGGGCUGCGGUCCUCACGAUUUUAAAGCAGUCCAGCGUGGUGUCUUCAGCAAUUAAAAAAAAAAAGCCUAUUUCUCACUAACUCCCCAGGGAGACGAGGCAGGUGACUUUAAAUAUC